Molecule: ribosomal RNA, 253 nt
Filed under: uncultured bacterium
Lineage: Bacteria
Description: partial 16S ribosomal RNA
Rfam family: Bacterial small subunit ribosomal RNA
Source: RNAcentral
UACGUAGGGUGCAAGCGUUAAUCGGAAUUACUGGGCGUAAAGCGUGCGCAGGCGGCUUUGCAAGACAGAUGUGAAAUCCCCGGGCUUAACCUGGGAACUGCAUUCGAGACUGCAUUGCUAGAGUAUGGGAGAGGGAAGUGGAAUUUCAGGUGUAGCGGUGAAAUGCGUAGAUAUCUGAAGGAACAUCAGUGGCGAAAGCGACUUCCUGGACCAAUACUGACGCUCAUGUGCGAAAGCGUGGGGAGCAAACAGG